UUUUCUCUUUUGUCAUGGAUAGAGUUUGGAAGAAGAUCAAAGGAUGGAAGGAGAGAUUUCUUUCUAGAGCAGGCAAAGAAACUUUGAUCAAGGCGGUGGCACAGGCAAUCCCUACGUAUAUCAUGAGUUGCUAUAAACUCCCUGAAGGUUGUUGCAAGGAUAUUGAAUCUAUGUUGGCUAAGUUCUGGUGGGGCUCUAAAGAAGGUGAGAGGAAAAUUCAUUGGAUGAGUUGGGAGAGGAUGUCAAAAUCCAAAAACAGUGGUGGUAUGGGAUUUCGAGGGAUCAGCUUAUCAUGUAUUGGGGGGUUAGAAGUCCUUGAAGAAACCAGAUCCCUCUACGAGCUCUCAUAGCAAGUUGUGGAAAGAAAUCUGGCACACACCAAUUCAGAACCGAGUCAAGAACUUCAUCUGGAGACUUGCAAAAAACAUCCUGCCAACAAAGAGUAAUUUAUUAAAGAAGGGUGUUCAAUUGGAUCCGGUUUGCCCUCUUUGUAGUUCCUGCGCAGAGGACAACGCUCAUCUCUUUAUGUAUUGUGAUUUUGCAAAGAUGGUAUGGUUUUCUUCCCCUCUUGGAAUUCAUGUACCUUUAGAACUGGAUGUGAAUGAUUGGCUGUUACACUGGUUGUCAUGUAAAAAUCAUUUUGCAAUUCAGGUGUUUUGUACUACUUUGUGGAAAAUAUGGUAUGCUAGAAACCAAAGUCUGUUUAAAAAUCA
This is a long non-coding RNA of Medicago truncatula (barrel medic), 713 nucleotides long. RefSeq lists it as uncharacterized. The record is from RefSeq and is a predicted model, not a curated record. Lineage: Eukaryota; Viridiplantae; Streptophyta; Magnoliopsida; Fabales; Fabaceae. The transcript has 2 exons.